This 1313-nucleotide long non-coding RNA is filed under the name Ursus maritimus (polar bear). RNAcentral's name for it is "lncRNA (ENSUMAG00000014282.1)". Lineage: Eukaryota; Metazoa; Chordata; Mammalia; Carnivora; Ursidae. The record is from RNAcentral.
CUGACUUAAUUAUUCAAUCUAGGGUUUACCCAAGAUAAAGUUUCUUCUCUUUCUUCAAAGAAAGAAAAAGAAAAUAUUUUUAGACCAGUCUUCGUCUCCUAACUGUAGGAUGGACGGUAUCUCUGUUUCCUUAAGCAUGGUUGCUUAGAAACGCAGAGGCCUUCCGAUGCCUGCGCGAAGCCAAGGCCCCGUUAGCUUCGGUUCGUGUUUGUGUUAGGGAUUACCGCAGCUGUUAUCUGCAAGUUUUGCAAGAGCUCAGUGGGCAGGGAGCUGGGUGUUCAAGUAAUUCCUAAUGAGUCCGCAUUGUUAAGAGGAGGGAAGCCCCGCAGGAGCUGCCCAGAGGACACCUCGUGAAGGAGACGCCUGCCCACGGAGGCCCGCCUAGAUUCCUGACCCACAGAAGCAGGGCGGACGCAAGGACCAGUGUUGGGAGUUGCUCAAUUCUGGGGUACUUGGUCACACAGCGGUGGCUCAGACCACACUUAUCAGGAAGAGCCAAAGCUGGAAAGAUUCACGGGUUCAUCGGCCAAGGCUGAAUCUCAGCAAGCUAAACUCAGGAGGUGUCUAGGCGCCCAGAGAAGAGGGUGGAAAGGUGCGCCUCUGUCAGAUACGUGCAUGGGAAUGUGUUCUCCCAGUUGCUGGCUUGCCUAUUAGGGAGGUCUUCCGCUUAACACAAGCACCUCACUGGAAUGACCCAGGACUUCGGAAACUGUAUCCUGUCAUGUACGUUACAGUGACGAUAAAAUGAAUACUUACAAACCGCCCCCAAAGUAGAACAUGAGCCCUGCGUUGGGCAGCAUGCCCUUCCUUAUGGGAACUGCUCCCUCAGAGAGAACUACUGUGACCAUUUUCAUGCUUUAAAAAAGUGUUAACCCGUAUGAAUCCAUCUCUAAACAACAUGUUGCUCAGUUUUGCUUGUUUUUGAGAUUUAUAAAAACAGUGUCUUAUAGUGUGGUGUUUUGUUUUGGCCUUCUGAGGCUUUCUUUCACUCCCUUUUUCUUCUAGGAUCCAUCUUUAUUGCUGCAGAUGGGUAUAGGUCCAUUCCCACACUAUAACAUUCUAGUAUGUGGAUUUUUCCCAUUUGUGCAUUAGCACGUCCACGGAAAUAGGGGAUGUUCUCAGUAUUCUUUUUUUAAUUUCAAAGAAUGCAGUUGUGAUUCAGCUUGCUAAUAUGUCCUUAUUCAUCUGUGCAAGAGUUCCUCUAAAGUAUAACUUUAGGAGUGGAAAACCCUGCUCAUGGGAUGGGUAUAUACUGGCUUUUACAAAAUACUGAAUUUUCCACAGUGGUUUUCCAAAUGUGUCUGAAUGUUUUC